Molecule: long non-coding RNA, 407 nt
Organism: Ochotona princeps (American pika)
Lineage: Eukaryota; Metazoa; Chordata; Mammalia; Lagomorpha; Ochotonidae
Exons: 3
Source: RefSeq, a predicted model, not a curated record
AACAAAUAGAGUAACAGUUACCAGCCUCCUGCUGAAGGAACUUUGGUUAAAGAUUGAGGUUGGAAUAUUAUCUUAAGGAAGAUAACUCAGAAAUGUCAGAAAUGGAAUUCCUAAAUGGAAAAAUAUGGUAUCUGUUCCUGGAACCUUAUAAAAAGGGGAAAAUGGAGAAAAAUCUGUCAACCCCAGCAUCUGUCACAUUCUGACUUCCAAAAUCAUGAGAGUGGGUUUGGUUGAUCACCAAGGUCCACUUCCAGCUGUGCAUACAAAUGACUGUAAAUCCAGGUGUGCAGAGAACCAGGCUUACUCUGCUUCCAGUAGGAAUGGGGAAGGUGGACACUUUAAAGAACAUUCAUUUGCUUUACUUUACUUCUCCCAAAUAAAAAACUUCCCUGCUUUUACUGUUAUGA